GAGUUUGAACACGUUUUUAGAAAGAAGUGCAACACCGCUGCAGCUGCAAAAGAGAGAGAGACGGCGUAGAGAACACUGCUGCCCGGAUCAAUGCGAUGAAGAGGAUGAAACUGUGUCUGCUGCCUUUACAGAGGGGGAUCCAGAAAGGCAUACAGAGAGCAUGGCUGGACAGCAGCAGGAUGGUUCCUCAACUUCCACUGCACAGACUGACACAGUGAGAUGGAUGUUCAGGAAACACCAGAGCUUCAUUCUGUGGAAUUCAUGUGCAACUGUAUAAUUGAAUGUCCUCUAUGUAUUCCCAGUUAUCAGUAAAACAGAUUUACAAACUGCAUUUGAUGAGAAAAAUCCAAAAAACAGAUUAGGAGGGCAGAUCUGGAAAUUGAAAUACUGGAGCACAAGUUAGAGGUGGUGAUGGUCACAGGUGAAUUAUGUUAACUACUGGAACAUGAACUGAACUAUCUUUUAUUUGUAGGGAAUAAAGAAGAGCAAAUGAAAUGUGUAUCAUGUCUUUA
Molecule: long non-coding RNA, 512 nt
Organism: Acanthochromis polyacanthus (spiny chromis)
Lineage: Eukaryota; Metazoa; Chordata; Actinopteri; Pomacentridae
Exons: 3
Source: RefSeq, a predicted model, not a curated record